Molecule: ribosomal RNA, 728 nt
Filed under: uncultured bacterium
Lineage: Bacteria
Description: bacterial SSU rRNA
Rfam family: Bacterial small subunit ribosomal RNA
Source: RNAcentral
AGUCGAGGGGCAGCGGGGGAGUAGCAAUACUCCCGCCGGCGACCGGCGCACGGGUGAGUAACACGUAUGAAACCUGCCCGUAGCAGGGGGGGAUAAGCGGAAGAAAUUCCGUCUAAUACCGCGUAACAACCCUUGGAGGCAUCUCCUCGGGUUUAAAGGAAGCGAUUCCGGCUACGGAUGGUCAUGCGUCGCAUUAGCUGGUUGGCGGGGUAACGGCCCACCAAGGCGACGAUGCGUAGGGGUUCUGAGAGGAAGGUCCCCCACACUGGUACUGAGACACGGACCAGACUCCUACGGGAGGCAGCAGUGAGGAAUAUUGGUCAAUGGCCGCAGGGCUGAACCAGCCAAGUCGCGUGAGGGAUGACGGUCCUAUGGAUUGUAAACCUCUUUUGUCAGGGAGCAAAGGGCGCCACGUGUGGCGCUUUGCGAGUACCUGAAGAAAAAGCAUCGGCUAACUCCGUGCCAGCAGCCGCGGUAAUACGGAGGAUGCGAGCGUUAUCCGGAUUUAUUGGGUUUAAAGGGUGCGCAGGCGGAAUGUCAAGUCAGCGGUAAAAUUUCGGGGCUCAACCCCGUCGUGCCGUUGAAACUGGCGUUCUUGAGUGAGCGAGAAGUAUGCGGAAUGCGUGGUGUAGCGGUGAAAUGCAUAGAUAUCACGCAGAACUCCGAUUGCGAAGGCAGCAUACCGGCGCUCAACUGACGCUCAUGCACGAAAGCGUGGGUAUCGAACA